UUUCUUUUUCCCAAGCCCUUAAUGCUAAGCACAGCAUUUAGCACCUGAUAGAAGGGAUGGUUUUGCAAUAAAGUGAAAAGAGCUCUAGACUAGGAGUUACAUCAUCCUAGAUUUUGUUCUAGAAAGGACCUUAGAGACUUAUUAGUUGAACCUUAGCCCCAAUUCCUUUGACCUGUGCUUGAAUCCUGGCUGUGAUAUCUUGAUCUCUUUGGACCUCAGAAAAGAGGAUAUUGGGCUAUGUAACCUCUGGGGGGUGGGAGAGCAGCUAAAUGGUUCAGUGGAUAGAGUACAAGGCCUGAUGCCUGGAAGACCCAUCUUCAUGAGUUUAAAUCUGGAUUCAGACAUUUACUAGCUGUGUGAUCUUGGGCACAUAACCCUGUUUACCUCAGUAUCCCCAUCUAUAAAAUGAGCUGGAGAAAGAAAUGGCAAACCAUUCCAGUUUCUUUGCCAAGAAAAUUCCAAAAAGGGUCACAUAGAGUCAGUUAUGACCAAACAACAACAAAACCUCUGAGUUUCCUUUCAGCUUUAAAUCCACGAUCCUAUUUUUUAUUUAUUUAUGUGGGAUGGAGGGAAGACUUUGGGAACUAAUAAGGGUUAUUUCCUUUGGGAGGGGAAAGGCAGUUAUAAAUAUGACAAGGUAUCGAGAGAGAAGCAGUCACUUGGAGCAGAGGAAGCCUAGACUCUAGGUGAGAGGCACCUAGAGGAUGUGCCAUUCCCUGAGAGGAUUAGGGAAAAUGGUGCAAGGAUGAUGAAAUGUGGCUAUCUAUUUGAAGAGGCCCAGAAGGGGACAACAAAAGGCAAAGUUAGCACUUGGAGGCAGGAAAUGAGUUGUAUAAAGGUUCUUAAAUAUAAAAUAAGUAGUAUAAUCCUGUAAAUUGCCUUUUUAAAGGUCCCUUAGCAAAUCUAAUCUCGUCCUCCCUUUCUUUCCCCUUUCUUUCUUUCCUGCCUUUAUUCUAUUAUUUGAUGCUAUCUGUGAUCUAUUAUGUGGGCAUUAGGAAAUGGAAUUUUCAGCCAACAGUAGGAAAAAAAGAAUAUAUUCUUUCUAUUUUGAUCUUUUAAACACUGGAUCUCUUUUCAAAGUCUUUGUUUGCCCACUAUCCAGGAUAUGGUGAAACAGUUUCCCUCUUCCCUUUUAAUUCUCAUGACAUGAGUUCUCCAACAUAGAUUGGCUCCUUCUUGAGGACAGGAAGGAGGAAGAGAAAGGCUCAUUUGGGACUUUUGAAUAAUUCUUAGUUCUGUCUCCCCAGCCAAUCAAAAGGGCACCUCUUUUUAAUCUUUAGUGGCCCAUUUCUGGAUUGUUAUGCUAGUUUAUUUUGUUUUAAUUGCUUAUGCUAGCGUCAGCCUCUACUCUGUGUGUGUGGGGGAUAAUGUCUCAGAUUUCAGUUUUGUUGUGGUUGUUAUUUCCUGAGCCCUCUGGGUGUCUUUGACCUCUUAGCUCUUCUAAUUUCUAUAUUACAGGGUCCCAGGCAACACUGUCACCUCUUUGUGGUGGCAAAAAACUAGAAACUGAGGGGAAGCCUAUCAAUUGUGGAAUGACUUAACAAGUUGUGACAUAUGAUUGUGAUGGACUACCACUGUCAUAAGAAAUGAUGAGCAGAUGAAAAAACAACAUGGAAAGGCUUACAUGAAGUUAUGAAGAGUGAAAUGAGCAGAACCAAGAUAACAUUCUAUUCAGCAACAGAAAUAUUGUUUGAAGAACGACUUAAGCCUAUCUCUAGAGAAAGAACUGAUAAACAGAAAUAAGCAAGUGUGGAGAAAGAAGCAAGAAAAUGGAAAGUGGAAAGACAUAUAAAUGCUUCUCCUACGAUUAGUUGAGAUUAAUUAGAGAACUAAUUUUCAUUAGAAGAAGAAAACCACUUACAAGCACCUUUUACUCUAAAUUGGCCUGAAGCCCUGGAGUUGUGGACCUUUGUUAAGUGCCCUGAGAAAGGCUUUGAUUCUAAGGCUUGCCAGAUGACCACUUACCUUACUGUUACUUCAUUUCCCCUUGGGGCUAAAUACUGUGGAGGCUAGCUGUCAACCUGCCUGCUUCACGAAGGUGUGUUGAGGAUGGCUGGGGUCAUGCCUGGGAAGAGCUUUGAACUUCCUGCACAGAAGAAGCAAGAUGGAGAGAGUUUUAUCCUCAACAUGAAGUCAUGGGAUAAUUGUUUCUUUGAAACACAGCAAAAGCAGUGCCUGGGGCCUCAUGUAGGAUAUGACCAACUUCCCCACACCCACCAUUUUCUGCAUUUGAUGUUCUCCGAAUCAGGCAGCCCCCUGAGUUUUUGUUUCUUUGGACACUUAAUUUGAUUUAUCUUGGUAUGGGUUAGUCUGGAUGAUGUCAAAUGGCCAACAAAUCCCCAAUUGUUUCUGAUGAGAAGAGGUGGCUGAAAGGCAUCUCUAGCUACUUAAUUAUCCUCAGUGACAAGGAAAAUGAAGCUGGGAUUUGAAUAGUAUAUUUGCAUAUUGAGACAGCUUUCCUUCUGUUCACUUUCUCCUAAAACUCUCAGAAGAGUCCAAGGAAACAGGUCAGUGGUUUUAAAAAGCCACUUUUCAUAGUUGGGCCAAAAGAAGGCAGAUUCCAAGGAAUUCAGACCUUCUGUGUCCUUGUUUAUCUGUGUUCUCUGUUUAGCCCCUCUAUAUUGAUCCUGUGGCAUCUUUGAUUUUAAAUCUAUGUGCUUAUACAUCAUUGCCUUUCAUAUCUCUUUCUCAGCUAACUGUGAGGACAGAAUUUGAUCUUGGCCCAGACAAAUGUUAAGAAUCAAAAGGAUUUCAUUAAAUGCUUUAAGCCUGCCUCUCAUCCAUGCAAGGAAAAGCCAUAUCUGGAAGAGACAAUUGGCAGACUAUUCUUGUUAGAGACCAAGCAAAUUAUUUUCUUUUUUCAUUGUAUAAUCAACAAUGGCAUGCAGAAUAGAAAUCUGCCAUUGGUUAAUAGACUCCUUUCUUGGUUAUUCUUAUUCCAUGUGAUGAUCAUUAAGACUUUUUCCAACUUGAUGGAAGGUUUUGUAACUUAUUCCUAUAUCCCUCCAUGAGUAGUGUGAUGCUUUAUCCAUAGUACAUUCUUCAUCAUUUUUAAAUGGAAUUUUGUUUUGGAGAAAUGAUACAAAAUAGAAUGAGGACAGCACUGAGACUCUGGAGCCUGGUUUUUAGUGCUAACUCUUCCAAUAACUUGCUCUACAACCUUGGGCAAGCCUUUAUGGGUCUUAGACUUUUCAUUUUUUAAGGAAAGGAGACAGAUGAUGAUUUCUCAACUAUGCCUCCAGCUCUAAUAUCCUGUUUGUCUUUGGAAAAUGUGCGCAAAUAGUCUUACACUGGUACUCUCUAUUCUUCCAACUAUCCCAUCUUUGAUCAGAUUGGCCAACUUGUGUCCAAAAUGCUUUGAGGGCCAGGGAAUAUUUCUCCAUAUUUCUAAAUCCUCAAUGAUGACCAUAAUGACAAAAAGCUAAUAAUUCACUUAUUUUUAUUGCCUUUUUAUCUAUGGCAUUAAAACACUUUUCAUCAUUUCCUUAUUGAGGUAAUAUAGUUCUUGUUGAGACCCAAGUAAAUGACAAGUUCCUUCACUACAUUAUUGAAAAGGGAAAGUCAGCAUAUAAAGGAUAAACAAAUUUUCCAGGUUCCCAAAGUGAGGGUUCUGGCAUAAUUACUCUCAAUUGUUAUCUGGAACCCAGUCUUUUACUUUUCCCGUAAUAAUAGUUUGCAUUUUUAUGCAACAAAUCUAACCAUGCCAUUCUUUUUCUCAAUAAAUUCCAGUGGCUCCUUGGAUAUAAAUAAUAUAAAUUCCUUUGAAUGACAUUUAAAAAUUUUCAUAUUCCCCCAGCAUCCUCUUCCUUCCCAAUCCCAGAAAACCAUCCCAUUCCAUAUAACAAAUUAUAUUUUUAAAGAAGGAAAAGAGAAAAACAAAGAGAAAAAAUCAGCAAAACUUAUCGAUGUACCAAAAAAAGUCUGAAAAUAUGUGCAAUGUACUAUGGACCUCCCGCCUUUGUCAAAAAGUAAGAUAAGGAUGUCUUUUCAUAUUUCUUCUCUGAGAUGGUUACUUGUAAUGGAAACAAUUAUACAACUGAUAUUCAUAUGUGACUAUUCAGGCAUGCAAAAGUUAUUUAAAAGAGACUAUUCUGACUUGCAAAGAAAAUAAUGGAAAAUUGAUUGUCUAAUUGCAGUCUGAAAACAAAAGAAAAAAUACUAAUUCUUCUCCAGUGGAUCCCUAUCAGAGGAAAAUCCUGGAUGGAGAAUUUUUCCAGUGGAUCUUGGCAAAUGCACAGGGAACCAA
This is a long non-coding RNA of Monodelphis domestica (gray short-tailed opossum), 4246 nucleotides long. RefSeq lists it as uncharacterized. Lineage: Eukaryota; Metazoa; Chordata; Mammalia; Didelphimorphia; Didelphidae. The record is from RefSeq and is a predicted model, not a curated record.